This is a long non-coding RNA of Triticum aestivum (bread wheat), 674 nucleotides long. RefSeq lists it as uncharacterized. Lineage: Eukaryota; Viridiplantae; Streptophyta; Magnoliopsida; Poales; Poaceae. The transcript is spliced from 3 exons. The record is from RefSeq and is a predicted model, not a curated record.
CGGUUGCGAGUCGGGGCGUGCGGUGGAACUGUCGUCGCGCCCGCACGCCACACACGACUACGGUUGUCGUCUCCCACGAUUCGCCACUCGCUCCCAUCGCGGUUUCAUUACUCCCCCUCCCCUUCAUUACUCCCCAACCCACCAUCCACAUCAGUUGCAUUCGAUUGGAGGAGAAGAGGAGAGGAGGAGGCGGCGGCGGCGGAAGAGUCGACGGCAUUCGCGGCCGUUGCUGGGGUUCACCGGGCCGGAGCAUCUUCGCCGGAGCAGCCGCAGUGAGAGGCACAAUGGCUCGCGGUGACCAUCAAGAUGAUGAUGAUGACUUCAUGGAGUUACCUCCAUAGAAUCGUGUGACCAGUCGGAUAAAAGAUGGCGAUGAGAAGAAGAAACGUCAAUGCAACAGGGCUUCGCAAGAAAGCCUGACUAUACUAACCGAGGGAUUUACUGAUGAGCAGAAGGGAGCUGCCAGUGAGAUGGGGAUCCAGGCUCUGAUGGAUGUUCGGUGCAAGAACCUAGUAAAUCCUGUAUGCGAUUGGCACGAUGAGAUAUAUGAGCCUGCGUCUAGGGAAUUCGUGAUUCCGGGACAUGGAAGACUGCCUUUGGAUGAGGAAUCUGUGUUAUGCACUUUGGCUGUGCCCCGUGGAGAAAUCAGAGUGUCGUAUGAGGUGGAUAAUGAG